GACGAACGCUGGCGGCGUGCUUAACACAUGCAAGUCGAACGGAAAGGCCUUUUCGGAGGUACUCGAGUGGCGAACGGGUGAGUAACACGUGGGUGAUCUGCCCUGCACUCUGGGAUAAGCCUGGGAAACUGGGUCUAAUACCGGAUAGGACCGCACUUUAGUGUGUGUGGUGGAAAGUUUUUUCGGUGUAGGAUGAGCCCGCGGCCUAUCAGCUUGUUGGUGGGGUAAUGGCCUACCAAGGCGGCGACGGGUAGCCGGACUGAGAGGUUGGUCGGCCACAUUGGGACUGGGAUACGGCCCAGACUCCUACGGGAGGCAGCAGUGGGGAAUAUUGCACAAUGGGCGCAAGCCUGAUGCAGCGACGCCGCGUGGGGGAUGACGGCCUUCGGGUUGUAAACUCCUUUCGCCAGGGACGAAGCGUUUUGUGACGGUACCUGGAGAAGAAGCACCGGCUGACUACGU
This 462-nucleotide ribosomal RNA is filed under the name uncultured bacterium. RNAcentral describes it as "partial 16S ribosomal RNA". It matches the Rfam family "Bacterial small subunit ribosomal RNA", at positions 28 to 506 of the family's 1533-position model. The record is from RNAcentral.